AGGUGUGGAUAGGGGAGAAAUUCCAAUCGAACCCGGAGAUAGCUGGUUCUCCUCGAAAUAGCUUUAGGGCUAGCCUCGAUACAGAUUUGCGGAGGUAGAGCACUGAAUUUCCUAGGGGGCGUCAAAGCCUACCGAAGAAUAUCAAACUCCGAAUGCCGCGUAAUCGAUUAUCGGGAGUCAGACUGCACGAGAUAAGUUGGGCGGUCAAAAGGGAAAGAGCCCAGACCUUCAGUUAAGGUCCCAAAGUGCGCGUUAAGUGGAAAAGGAUGUGGGAUUUCGAAGACAACCAGGAUGUUGGCUCAGAAGCAGCCAUCCAUUCAAAGAGUGCGUAAUAGCUCACUGGUCGAGAGGUCCUGCGCCGAAAAUGUCCGGGGCUGAAACGCGCCACCGAAACUAAGGAACCGAAAGGUUGGUAGAGGAGCAUUGCAUGCGGAACGAAGCAGUACCGAAAGGAGCUGUGGACUGCAUGGAAGAGAGAAUGCCGGAAUGAGUAGCGAGAUAGAGGUGGGAAUCCUCUAGGCCGAAUAUCCAAGGUUUCCAGAGUAAAGCUGAUCUGCUCUGGGUAAGUCGGGGCCUAAGGCGAGGACGAGAGUCGUAGCCGAUGGACAACAGGUGGAGAUUCCUGUACUGCGGUAUGACAGAACUGUGGGGACACGUAAGGAAAGCGGAAGCCGGGAAUGGAAAGCCCGGUGCAAGCGGGGUACCAGUCACUCUGGCAAAUCCGGGUGGCAAUGGGAAGCCGUGAUGCGGAGCGAAAUAAAGUAGUGAAGUCCGUGAGCCAUGCGUCAAGAAAAGCCGCUAUUGUUUAUACCGUACCCGUACCGUAAACCGACACAGGUGGAUGAGGAGAGAAUCCUAAGGCCGGCGGAAGAAGCAUUGUCAAGGAACUCGGCAAAAUGGCCCCGUAACUUAGGGAUAAGGGGUGCCUCAGAAAUGAGGCCGCAGAGAAUAGGCUCAAGCAACUGUUUAGCAAAAACACAGGUCUAUGCGAAACCGAAAGGUGAGGUAUAUGGGCUGACGCCUGCCCGGUGCUGGAAGGUUAAGAGGAGAGGUUAGCGCAAGCGAAGCUUUGAAUUUAAGCCCCAGUAAACGGCGGCCGUAACUAUAACGGUCCUAAGGUAGCGAAAUUCCUUGUCGGGUAAGUUCCGACCC
RNAcentral lists this ribosomal RNA (1152 nucleotides) under human gut metagenome. Its description in RNAcentral is "bacterial LSU rRNA". It matches the Rfam family "Bacterial large subunit ribosomal RNA", at positions 807 to 1989 of the family's 2925-position model. The record is from RNAcentral.